GACGAACGCUGGCGGCGUGCCUAAUACAUGCAAGUCGAGCGGACCAAAGGGAGCUUGCUCCUGGAGGUUAGCGGCGAACGGGUGAGUAACACGUGGGCAACCUGCCUGUAAGACUGGGAUAACAUCGAGAAAUCGGUGCUAAUACCGGAUAAUAAAAAGAACUGCAUGGUUCUUUUUUGAAAGAUGGUUUCGGCUAUCACUUACAGAUGGGCCCGCGGCGCAUUAGCUAGUUGGUGAGGUAACGGCUCACCAAGGCAACGAUGCGUAGCCGACCUGAGAGGGUGAUCGGCCACACUGGGACUGAGACACGG
Molecule: ribosomal RNA, 311 nt
Filed under: uncultured bacterium
Lineage: Bacteria
Description: bacterial SSU rRNA
Rfam family: Bacterial small subunit ribosomal RNA
Source: RNAcentral